This 3334-nucleotide long non-coding RNA is filed under the name Homo sapiens (human). RNAcentral's name for it is "novel transcript, antisense to ZNF582". The record is from RNAcentral. Lineage: Eukaryota; Metazoa; Chordata; Mammalia; Primates; Hominidae.
UGGGAUUACAGGCAUGAGCCACCGCGCCUGGCCUUAAGAUUUUUUUCAUAAGCAAUCAUGUCACGUGCAAAUAGACAGUGUAUUCAUUUCUGGUCUGUGCUGUUCUUUUUUUUCUCAUCUUAUUGCAAUUGCUGUGUGACCUCCAGGACAGUGUUGAAUGAAAGUGAUAAAUGUAGGCACCCUUGUUUUGCUUUCAGUCUUAGGAGGAAAGACUUAGUGGGGAGGAAGUGGCAACUCUGAGUCAGGAUGUAGACUUCUUAGCAUAUGCAUUUGCACAUCUUGCUCAAAUCCCAGAUUUCCCUAUACCCUCUAUGCUCCCUUUAAAACAAUGCUUUCUUUCCACAGUAUCUUUCCCCCAAGUCAAUAAUGGGUCAAAUUUCAGCAGUCCCAAACUGGGGAAGUUCUGGGACUGCUGUGGUAAGAAAUGGAUUCAGACACCAAAGGAGCUGUAGGACCUGGCUAACAUGUACAAGCAAGAACCAGAAGAGUAUACCUGGGAGGAGAUCCUGAGAUUACUGCAUCAUUAGGUAGAAUACAAAGUUGAAUAGGGGAGAGUUUUUUGCUAUGGGGUCACUGUAUGACAGGAUUAACACACUGGCAAGGGAAAAAGAUGCUUCUAAUGGAUGCUGGGACAGUUUUUGAAGCUUGGAAAAAGCAUUGGUUCUCAUUAAAUAAAAUGAAGAUAGCAGAAUUGCCAUGACAAAUGAGGAUGGGAUCAAAAGAAGUGGAUAUACAAGGGAGAACAAGCGUCAUGGAGAUGGCCAAUAGUAGCUGUCCCCUAGGCGAGGGCUGGCUGCAAGAGGUGCUGUUAAGGAACUGGGCUCUCUAGUUGCAAUGGGAAUGAUAGGAUCUCAGAAUAAUGGCAGCCAGGUGAUAGCUCUUAGCAUCAAACGCAAGGAGGGCCAUAAUUACCAUAUGGGUAGAAGGCUUAGAAUAGAAUCUGGGGAGAUUGAUCUUCAGAAAUCUAUGGUUCUGGCUCAUAGCACAUGAGUUUGCCAAUGGCAAGUCAUCUGCUUCCAAUAAGAGUAAACUUAUUGAGACAAGGGGUUGCUCCGUUGCCCAGGCUGGAGUACAUGGCAUGAUCACAGCUCAACUGCAACCUUGAACUCCUGGGCUCAAAUAAUCCUCUCACCUCAGCCUCCCAAGUAGUUGGGACUACAGGAAGCUGAGGUAGGAGGACUGCUUGAAUGGGAGGUUGAGGCUUCAGUGAGCCAUGGCUGUGCCACUGCACUCCAGUUUGAGAUGCCAUCUCAAAAAACAAAACAAAAAAACCAGACAGUAAAUAUAGGUGUUGUGGCCAUAUAGUCUCUGUGGCAACUACUCAGCUCUGCUGUAGUGAAACCAAAGCAGUCGUAGACCAUAAAUGCAAUGUGUCACUCAGACUUUAUAAAGCAGGUAGCGGGCUGGAUUUGGUUUUUAUACCCUGCACUAGGCAAAAUGGGAUAUUAUGUAAAGAUAAAGGUAUAAUUCAUAAAUAGAGGGUUAGUAGUAUGUCCCUGUAAGUCAAACAAUAUAAAUUAAAAAGCGUAAAUGUCUGGAAACUCAAGGUGUUGGCAACAUUUUUUUAGGAAAUUCUGAUCCAGCAUACCAAAUUAUAUGAAAACAUGGAGAUUUUUACUAUUGCAAUCUAGUGGCUUAAUGGACUUAUUUAGAAACUUGUAUCCAAAAAUGCAGAAUACAUAUUUUUUCAAUGUUCAUGGUAUACAGAAAUCAAUCUUGUAUUUAACCACACACACACACACACACACAGUCAAACUGGGUGGCACAGCGGCUCAUGCCUGUAAUCCCAGCACUUAUAGGAAGUGCUGGGAGGCCGAGGCGGGUGGAUCACAAAGGUCAGGAAAUCCAGACCAUCCUGGCCAACAUGGUGAAACCUCAUCUCUACUAAAAACACAAAAAUUAGCUGGGCAUGGUAGCGUGCACCUGUAGUCCCAGCUACUGGGGAGACUGGGGCAGGAGAAUCGCUUGAACCCGGGAGGCAGAGGUUGUGCCACUGCACUGCAGCCUGGUGACAGAGCGAGACUCCAUCUCCAAAAAAAGAGUAAAAUUCAAAAAGUAGAUAACUUCAGGCCACAUUUACCAACCAUAAUAAAAUUAAAUUAGAUAUUAUAUCACUUAGGAUGCUUUUGGCUGCGAAUUUACAAAAUAUCCAACUAAAACUAACUGAGCAAUCAAGUUUUAUUUUUCUCAGAUAACAAGGCAUCAAAAAGGCAGUUCCAGAAUUGGCCUAGUAGCUGAGUCUUCUCAGGCUCUGGGUCAGCUUCUCUGAGGUCCACUUUUUUCUCUUCUUGGUUCCAAGACAGCUGCAGCAGCUUCAGGCAUCAUGUUCUUAUAUAAAAAUGUUUAAAAGCAGGAAGUGAGAGAGGAGGAAGUCUUCAUGAUAAACCUGUCUCUUCUGAAUGAGGAAAAUCUUUCCCAGAAGCCCCGGCAGAUUCCACUGAGCAACACUGGGAGAUACUGGCCAUACUGUGCUGCACAGGAGACUGGAAAAUUAGCAUCUGAUAUUCUCAGAGUCCAAGGCAAGACACAGAUGCUGCCAAUAACAAGGGGAAUUGGGUAUGGCUGCUGGGAUGACAACCAAUGGUUGUCUGUGCCAGUCACAUAAAACAAUGUAACAAUGUGGAAAUUAAGAAAUAUUCUCCUAAAUUUAGAUUAUUUCUGGAUCAGAAAGAAACAAAAACUGAGAUUAUUGUAAGAUGGUCUCUUUAUUUCAUCAUUUUCUGUUACUUUCUUCUUUCACUGCCUGGAUGUUUGGUAGACUUGAAUAGCAUGUUUAGUGCAUAUGAGUUUAUCUUUCAGAUUUUCAUGUAUAUGCAUGCAUUCAAAGGCUAUAAAAAUUCCUCCAGUGUAGCUUUGGCUUUCCCCUUACCCUCACAUCUCUUUGGCCACAUUUCACAUCUCUUGGCAUGUUAAACUCUCAAUUCAUUCUUUUCAUUACCAUUUAUGGUAAUUGCAUGAUUUCUUUGUUAAGCAAAUGAUAAUCUGGCUGUUUUUUUAACUUGUAAGAAAACUAUAACUUUUGCUCUUGAUAAAAUUACUACACUGUGGUUAGAAAAUGUGGUUCUGGAAUGUGUUAGAAAUAAAAUUUCUCCCAACCUUUCCCAGCAUUUUUGACAAUUAUGAUCUGAACAAUUUACAUCCAUAAAAUUUUCUUUGAUAUGAAUUUUCAGACUUAGGAUAAAGGCUUACCUCUGAAUGAAGGCAUUGUCACUGGCAUUACAUUCUUCAAGUCUUUCUCCAAGAGGGAGAAGUAAGUCACAGUCACAAUUAGCCUAGGCUAAUGGGCUUUCCCCAUUACUUCCAUUCAUAUGGUUGCUUGCCAACAUAAAUUCUC